CCUUGGGUAGUGCAAACGGUAAACACGUUUGGCUGCUAACCAAAAGGCUGGAGGUUCAAAUCUACCCAGAGGU
RNAcentral lists this transfer RNA (73 nucleotides) under Loxodonta africana (African savanna elephant). It matches the Rfam family "tRNA". From Rfam's summary of the family: Transfer RNA (tRNA) molecules are approximately 80 nucleotides in length. The record is from Rfam by way of RNAcentral. Lineage: Eukaryota; Metazoa; Chordata; Mammalia; Proboscidea; Elephantidae.